Molecule: long non-coding RNA, 341 nt
Filed under: Equus caballus (horse)
Lineage: Eukaryota; Metazoa; Chordata; Mammalia; Perissodactyla; Equidae
Description: lncRNA (ENSECAG00000046820.1)
Source: RNAcentral
UGUUAUGGGAGGAGUAAUGUCAGCAUCAUGGCAGAGUGAGCUCUCCUUGUAAACUCUCCCCUCUGAGAUACUAUGAAAAGGACAUUCAUAUUCCAACAGAGGACAUUGAUACAAGACAGAAAAUGUCUGAAAAACUCACACAGCCAUACCUUAGAAGAUGGAAAUGCUGGAGACCCCCUCCUCCAACGAAGUGGAAUGAGGGACUCCGUGAUAUUGGAUAACUGAAGUUGAUGGAAGAUAUAAUGAGGCACCUAUACAAGCAGAAAGGAGUAAAAGGGGCCAGAAGAAGAGAGCUGAAUGUCCUGAUGACAACAUCUGAGAAAGCAAGAAAGGAAUGGGAG